UACGUAGGGUGCAAGCGUUAAUCGGAAUUACUGGGCGUAAAGCGUGCGCAGGCGGUUAUGUAAGACAGUUGUGAAAUCCCCGGGCUCAACCUGGGAAUUGCAUCUGUGACUGCAUAGCUAGAGUACGGUAGAGGGGGAUGGAAUUCCGCGUGUAGCAGUGAAAUGCGUAGAUAUGCGGAGGAACACCGAUGGCGAAGGCAAUCCCCUGGACCUGUACUGACGCUCAUGCA
RNAcentral lists this ribosomal RNA (230 nucleotides) under uncultured bacterium. RNAcentral describes it as "partial 16S ribosomal RNA". It matches the Rfam family "Bacterial small subunit ribosomal RNA", at positions 524 to 753 of the family's 1533-position model. The record is from RNAcentral.